GACGAACGCUGGCGGCGUGCUCAACACAUGCAAGUCGAACGGAAAGGCCCUGCUUUUGUGGGGUGCUCGAGUGGCGAACGGGUGAGUAACACGUGAGUAACCUGCCCUUGACUUUGGGAUAACUUCAGGAAACUGGGGCUAAUACCGGAUAGGAGCUCCUGCUGCAUGGUGGGGGUUGGAAAGUUUCGGCGGUUGGGGAUGGACUCGCGGCUUAUCAGCUUGUUGGUGGGGUAGUGGCUUACCAAGGCUUUGACGGGUAGCCGGCCUGAGAGGGUGACCGGCCACAUUGGGACUGGGAUACGGCCCAGACUCCUACGGGAGGCAGCAGUGGGGAAUAUUGCACAAUGGGCGGAAGCCUGAUGCAGCAACGCCGCGUGCGGAAUGACGGCCUUCGGUUUGUAAACCGCUUUCGCCUGUGACGAAGCGUGAGUGACGGUAAUGGGUAAAGAAGCACCGGCUAACUACGUG
Molecule: ribosomal RNA, 468 nt
Filed under: uncultured bacterium
Lineage: Bacteria
Description: partial 16S ribosomal RNA
Rfam family: Bacterial small subunit ribosomal RNA
Source: RNAcentral